GACGAACUGUGCAAGCGUUAAUCGGAAUUACUGGGCGUAAAGCGCGCGUAGGUGGUUCGUUAAGUUGGAUGCGAAAUCCCCGGGCUCAACCUGGGAACUGCAUUCAAAACUGACGAGCUAGAGUAUGGUAGAGGGUGGUGGAAUUUCCUGUGUAGCGGUGAAAUGCGUAGAUAUAGGAAGGAACACCAGUGGCGAAGGCGACCACCUGGACUGAUACUGACACUGAGGCGCGAAAGCGUGGGGAGCAAACAGG
RNAcentral lists this ribosomal RNA (253 nucleotides) under uncultured bacterium. Its description in RNAcentral is "partial 16S ribosomal RNA". It matches the Rfam family "Bacterial small subunit ribosomal RNA", at positions 524 to 776 of the family's 1533-position model. The record is from RNAcentral.